This 529-nucleotide ribosomal RNA is filed under the name Cystofilobasidium infirmominiatum. RNAcentral describes it as "partial large subunit ribosomal RNA". It matches the Rfam family "Eukaryotic large subunit ribosomal RNA", at positions 146 to 667 of the family's 3401-position model. Lineage: Eukaryota; Fungi; Basidiomycota; Tremellomycetes; Cystofilobasidiales; Cystofilobasidiaceae. The record is from RNAcentral.
UAAUCUCGAGAAGUGUUUUCCGCGUUGGCCUGUGUACAAGUCCCUUGGAACAGGGCGUCAUAGAGGGUGAGAAUCCCGUCCUUGACACAGACACCCAAUGCUUUGUGAUACACUCUCAAUGAGUCGAGUUGUUUGGGAAUGCAGCUCAAAAUGGGUGGUAAAUUCCAUCUAAAGCUAAAUACUGGCGAGAGACCGAUAGCGAACAAGUACCGUGAGGGAAAGAUGAAAAGCACUUUGGAAAGAGAGUCAAACAGUACGUGAAAUUGUUGAAAGGGAAACGAUUGAAGUCAGUCGUGCCUGCCUAGAUUCAGCCUUCUGGUGUAUUUCUAGGUCGGCAGGUCAGCAUCAGUUUGGGGGGGUUAACAAGGGAGCUGGGAAUGUGGCAACCUCGGUUGUGUUAUAGCCCAGUUUCGCAUUGAUCUCGCUGGACUGAGGAACGCAGUGCGCCCGCAAGGGUUGGUCUUCGGACACAUUCGCACUUAGGAUGCUGGCAUAAUGGCUUUAAACGACCCGUCUUGAAACACGGACC